UUCCAGUCAUUACCUCCGAGCACCGACAGAUGGCGCACUCAGUCAUUUCUCAGAUUCGCUCCUCCAUGCCGCCUGAGAGCGUCUCAAAGCACGCUGAUGUUUGAUCCACGGAACGAGCUCAAUGUAAAGCAUUAUCAGAAAGCCCAGCUUCAACCUCCGCUAUGGUGUAAUGACCUACUCAGGGCUUUAAUGUAAACCUUUCUGCUGGCUUCUCUUCUCUCAGGUUGGGUCAUGCAAAGUACAGCACGAGAGCUUGCCUGCAACGAUCAGGAUCAGUCGAUGUGGAAUCCGAAGCGAGUCCCCGAGACAGAUGAUUGAUAGGCCUCAGCUGCAGAGCUCCCAAUCUGAUCCUCGCAGACGAUAAUGCAUUCUCCUUUUGUCUGCCUAUCACCUAAUGCAGUGGUCGAAGAUGACAGAGCGCUCGCCGCACUUUGCGGAGAGAAAGAAAUGAUAUCUUUUUCAUUGGAGCAAAACCAGAAACUACGAGGAGGGGGAAAAAAUGGAGGGAAAGAUGGAAAAGUUCCCCCGCUUUCUGUCUCCAGAGAAAGAGAGGCCUUAUUAUCCGCCUGCAUUUGCAUGAUGAGAAAACACAGCUCAUAUUCAUCUUAGUAAAGUUGUAAUAAAUGAUUUCAACAGCAUCAUCAUCAAUUUUACGCAGGUGCGCUUGUGAAAAUCACUCACUUCAAUCAAAAGAACCUUAGCUCCCCUGUUAAAGACGGCUCAUUUUUUACUAUCACACGCUAUAACGCUGAAAUUUGGAGGAAAGAGUGAAAGAGCGAGAAGAGAGAGAGAGAGAGAGAGAGGUUGAAGGGAACAGAGAGACGGAUCGUGUUCCGCUGGAUGGCGCUACUGAACAAUUAACAAGACUGACAGCCCAACAGAAAAAGGAUCUUUUGCGAUGCAUGGUUCUAUGACAAUAAUCACGACACAAAAAUGUAACCAAGGCGAGCGUAAACAAACAAUCAAUAAAGAGGACCUGUAAAUAAACCUGAAACGAAGAGAGAGAGAGAGACAGAGAGAUAAAAAGGUAGGGUGAUGUUCUGAGGUCACUCUGAGCUAAAUCGACUACUUCAGCAGAAUUCCCAAAUGCCAAGACAACACCUCAGCCUAUAAUGACCAGAGAUCCUCCCUGUAUGCUUCAAACACCCAGCAGCAGCACAGCUCGGGGAAUUAACAACAGCAUCAUACGCCACGCCGGCUGGAUUUACUCCUUGUUGUGCUCCGCACACCUGCUCCUCAAGAAAGUCUUAAUUGGCAAUUACUGCAGUGCUUUUGUAACACUUGUAUGCCUGAUUGUGUUCAAUCUAAUUUUAAUCAACAAAGGUCAAA
Puntigrus tetrazona (Sumatra barb) is the source of this 1329-nucleotide long non-coding RNA. RefSeq lists it as uncharacterized. The record is from RefSeq and is a predicted model, not a curated record. The transcript has 3 exons. NCBI's taxonomy places the organism in Eukaryota, Metazoa, Chordata, Actinopteri, Cypriniformes, Cyprinidae.